CCUACGGGAGGCAGCAGUGGGGAAUAUUGGACAAUGGGCGAAAGCCUGAUCCAGCCAUGCCGCGUGUGUGAAGAAGGCCUUCGGGUUGUAAAGCACUUUCAGUGGGGAAGAAAGCCUUGGGGCUAAUACCCUCGAGGAAGGACAUCACCCACAGAAGAAGCACCGGCUAACUCCGUGCCAGCAGCCGCGGUAAUACGGAGGGUGCGAGCGUUAAUCGGAAUUACUGGGCGUAAAGCGCGCGUAGGCGGUCUGAUAAGCCGGUUGUGAAAGCCCCGGGCUCAACCUGGGAACGGCAUCCGGAACUGUCAGGCUAGAGUGCAGGAGAGGAAGGUAGAAUUCCCGGUGUAGCGGUGAAAUGCGUAGAGAUCGGGAGGAAUACCAGUGGCGAAGGCGGCCUUCUGGACUGACACUGACGCUGAGGUGCGAAAGCGUGGGUAGCAAACAGGAUUAGAUACCCUAGUAUC
Molecule: ribosomal RNA, 464 nt
Filed under: Vreelandella stevensii
Lineage: Bacteria; Pseudomonadati; Pseudomonadota; Gammaproteobacteria; Oceanospirillales; Halomonadaceae
Description: partial 16S ribosomal RNA
Rfam family: Bacterial small subunit ribosomal RNA
Source: RNAcentral